Molecule: ribosomal RNA, 779 nt
Filed under: uncultured Neocallimastigales
Lineage: Eukaryota; Fungi; Neocallimastigomycota; Neocallimastigomycetes; Neocallimastigales
Description: partial large subunit ribosomal RNA
Rfam family: Eukaryotic large subunit ribosomal RNA
Source: RNAcentral
AGAGAGAGACAUGCGCGCAUAUCAAUAAGCGGAGGAAAAGAAACUAACAAGGAUUCCCCUAGUAACGGCGAGUGAAGCGGGAAGAGCUCAAAUUUGAAAUCUUCAAGGUUUUACCUUGACGAAUUGUAGUUUAAAGAAGUGUUUUCGGUUAGAGGAGUAGUAAAAGUUCUUUGGAAUAGGACAUCAUAGAGGGUGCGAAUCCCGUAUUUGACCAUUAUUUCCAGCUUUGUGAUACACUUUCAAAGAGUCGGAUUGUUUGGGAAUGCAGUCCAAAAUGGGUGGUAAAUUUCAUCUAAAGCUAAAUAUUGGCGAGAGACCGAUAGCGAACAAGUACCGUGAGGGAAAGAUGAAAAGAACUUUGAAAAGAGAGUUAAACAGUACGUGAAAUUGUCAAAAGGGAAGCGUUUGACACCAGUGUUGUUUUCUUGAAAAUCAAUUAAAAAAGGCCGGAUUUUGUGUUUAGAGUUAUGACUUCAUCAGCUUUCUGCACUUCUUUAUGUACUUUCUUAAUGCACUUUUCGUUUAACAAGUCAACAUCAAUUUCUUUUGUUGUAAAAGAGUCAUGAGGAAGGUGGCUUUCUUUUCGGAGAAAGUGUUUAUAGCCUUGUACUUCUGCAGUCGGAGAGAUUGAGGUCUGCAGCGUAGAUCCUUCGGGGUUAGAUACAUUUGUGCUAAGUUAUAGCCUUUCAUAGACAACUUGUUGACUAUGAUCAGUCAUGUAGCUUACUCGCUUAUGCUAUUUUACCUACGCUUAGGAUGUUGACAGCAGUAUAGACUGU